Molecule: non-coding RNA, 771 nt
Organism: Manis javanica (Malayan pangolin)
Lineage: Eukaryota; Metazoa; Chordata; Mammalia; Pholidota; Manidae
Source: RefSeq, a predicted model, not a curated record
GUGGAGGAGGCCUUGACUCAGUCUCUCACUGCCCUUUGAGCCCAAUUCAGGAUACACUUCCUGAAAGGAGGUCUCUCUCCUGGGCAAAUGCAAACAAGUGGCGACUUAAUGAUGCCUCCUCCCAAUUACUUGGAUAGGAAAAUGCUUUCUGUGAAUGCUCCAAGGUAAAGAGAUCAAAGGAUUUGUCACAACUACAGUGCCCGGUCUGCAGCAUGUUCUCUAAGUGUGGUCCCCAGCCACCUGACAGCCACAGCAUCACCUGGGACCUUGUUCAAAAUGCAAAUUCUCAAGCCUCAUCCUGGACCUACAGAAUGGAAAACUCUGGGGAUGGAGCCCAGAAGUCUGUGUUCACAACUUGUCUGGAUGGCGCUCAGGUUUAAAGACCACUGGCCCGUAUAUUUACAGAGGGGAAAGGAAGACUCCAGACGUUUGUAAGAGUCAUUUUUGGUUCCCAGAAAAAAGAAAUCAUGAAACAAAGAGAAUUAAGACUCAGAUCUCCGUAGGUUACUUGUUACCCCUGUUCAGCGACAAUGAGGAUGGAGAGCUGGGGAGAUUAUAGAGACACUUUAGUUUCUAGAGCUUGGGCUGCUGCUAAUAUACCUGGUGAGACACCUACAGACCCCAGGAUCGCCAUGACACCCCUUUUGCAAAGACACUACUCCCUAGGAACAUCUUUAUCGUUUUGUGUAAUUUUUCUUUAUCUUCUGUAAUUUCUACGGAGGCCCUUUCUUUCUCUCAUUUUCCAUGUAAAUGAAGUAAAGACAACAGUUA